Molecule: ribosomal RNA, 1963 nt
Filed under: human gut metagenome
Description: bacterial LSU rRNA
Rfam family: Bacterial large subunit ribosomal RNA
Source: RNAcentral
UCAAGCAAGAAAGAGCACAAGGAGAAUGCCUUGGCACUAGGAGCCGAUGAAAGACGUGGUAAGCUGCGAAAAGCUUCGGGGAGGCGCAAACAGCCAUCGAUCCGGAGAUAUCUGAAUGGGGAAACCUACUUGAGCAAACCUCAAGUAUCCAUGCGUGAAUCCAUAGCGUAUGGAAGGGAACGCUGUGAACUGAAACAUCUAAGUAGCAGUAGGAGGAGAAAGAAAACUCGAUUUCCUAAGUAGCGGCGAGCGAACGGGAAAGAGGCCAAACCGAAGGACCUGGUUCUUCGGGGUUGUGGACUGCAUUUAGCAUUGCUGAGAGAUAGACGAAUGGUUUUGGGAAAGCCAGCCGUAGACGGUGAAAGCCCGGUAGACGAAAUCUUGAAGCAGCGAGCAGGAUCCAGAGUACCACGAGACACGAGAAACCUUGUGGGAAGCCGGGGGGACCACCCCCCAAGCCUAAAUACUCCCUAGUGACCGAUAGUGAAGCAGUACUGUGAAGGAAAGGUGAAAAGGACCCCGGGAGGGGAGUGAAAGAGAACCUGAAACCUUGUGCUUACAAACAGUCAAAGGCCUACGGGCUGAUGGCGUACUUUUUGUAGAACGGUCCGGCGAGUUACUAAUGCCAGCGAGGUUAAGUGGUCAGAAGCCACGGAGCCGAAGGGAAACCAAGUCUGAAUAGGGCGUAGAGUUGGUAUUAGUAGACCCGAAACCGGGUGACCUAUCCAUGUCCAGGUUGAAGGAACCGUAAAAGGUUUUGGAGGACCGAACACACAUGUGUUGAAAAACGUGGUGAUGAGGUGUGGAUAGCGGAGAAAUUCCAAUCGAACUCGGAGAUAGCUGGUUCUCCUCGAAAUAGCUUUAGGGCUAGCCUCGAGCUGGAGUCUAACGGAGGUAAAGCACUGAACUGACGCGGGGCCCAAAAAGGUUACCAACUCAUAUCAAACUAAGAAUGCCGUCAAGAUACCCUCGGGAGUCAGUCUGCGUGAGAUAAGUCGCGUGGACAAAAGGGAAAGAGCCCAGACCGACAGCUAAGGUCCCAAAGUACGUGUUAAGUGGAAAAGGAUGUGGGAUUUCAUAGACAACUAGGAUGUUGGCUUAGAAGCAGCCAUACAUUUAAAGAGUGCGUAAUAGCUCACUAGUCGAGAAAACCUGCGCCGAAAAUGUAACGGGGCUAAAACACGACACCGAAGCUACGGAUUUCCUACUAGGUAGGAAGUGGUAGAGGAGCAUCCUGCAAGGACGAAGCCAAAGUGAGAGCGAUGGUGGACGAAACAGGAGAGAGAAUGCCGGAAUGAGUAGCGAGAUACAUGUGAGAAACAUGUAGGCCGAAUAUCUAAGGAUUCCUGGGUAAAGCUAAUCUUCCCAGGGUUAGUCGGGGCCUAAGGCGAGGACGAGAGUCGUAGUCGAUGGAUAACAGGUUGAUAUUCCUGUACUACACAUAAUCAGAACUGUGGGGACGCAGGAGGAUAGGGAAACCGGGGAAUGGAAAGACCCGGUCAAGCGCAAAGCUGUGGGAGAUAGGCAAAUCCGUCUCCUGUAAGUGAAGCGUGAUGAGGACUGAAAAAAAGUAAGGAAGUUUCCGAAUCCACACUGCCGAGAAAAGCCGCUAUUGCGUUAUGUGUACCCGUACCGUAAACCGACACAGGUAGAUGAGGAGAAAAUCCACAGGCCGACGGGAGAAGUGUUGUUAAGGAACUCGGCAAAAUGACCCCGUAACUUCGGGAUAAGGGGAGCCUCGCAAGAGGCCGCAGAAAAGAGGCACAAGCAACUGUUUAGCAAAAACAUAGGUCUAUGCGAAACCGUAAGGUGAAGUAUAUGGGCUGACGCCUGCCCGGUGCUGGAAGGUUAAAAGGAGAGGUCAGCGCAAGCGAAGCUUUGAAUUCAAGCCCCAGUAAACGGCGGCCGUAACUAUAACGGUCCUAAGGUAGCGAAAUUCCUUGUCAGGUAAGUUCUGACCCGC